AAACUGCGGGCUGGAGUUCUUGACAGCUGGAGGAGGAAUCUUCCGUCAUCUGUCAAGCCUGAAAGGGAAAACGAAAUGAGGCCUCUCCGGCUCUUCUUCUUGGAGCCUGACGUGCUGAUGAAGGACAGACGGUGGGCAUUGUCAACCAGCACAUCCCUUGGAGAUUUCUGGUCCCAAAAAGCAUCACAGGGCACUUUGUACAGAACGGGAUUGUCACUCUGAUGAGCGCAGAAGUCUCUUAACUUCCAAAUGAGCUGUCUUCCGGGCCCCUGGGAAACCAUAAUGUAAGUGGUGCCAGGCUUCCAGGAAUGGCCAGAAAGCUGCUUCACUUGAGGGUGGCCGAGGAUUUGCUCAUGUGAAAUGAAAACAAUAGACAUCGAUACUAGUUGCAAUACCAGUAAUUUUUUAGCAGAAAAAUA
Molecule: long non-coding RNA, 419 nt
Filed under: Equus caballus (horse)
Lineage: Eukaryota; Metazoa; Chordata; Mammalia; Perissodactyla; Equidae
Description: lncRNA (ENSECAG00000054008.1)
Source: RNAcentral